AAAUUGGAUGAAGACAUGCAUCAAAAAAUUGCAAGAGAAAUGAACCUCUCUGAAACUGCUUUUAUCCGAAAACUGCACCCCACUGACAACUUUACACAAAGUUCCUGCUUUGGAUUGAGGUGGUUUACGCCGGCGAGUGAGGUUCCCCUCUGCGGCCACGCUACCCUGGCUUCCGCGGCUGUGCUGUUUGAGAAGAUAAGUAAUGUGAUUUUCUUUUAUGAACCUGUCACUGAGCAAAUAGCAAGUAUUUUUUAAAAUUCUCACGCUUUGUGAUGAAUCAAAGUCCCUGCUAUCAAGACAUUACAGAGUCUAUUCAUGUCAUUCAUGACGCUGAAACAAAUACAGCCCCCCGAAACUUUGGCCUUUCUGAUUAUGUGCCAGGCCUGUUGGAAAGCUCUGGUCGUUGCUCCCUAGAAUGCCAUUUUAUUUUGAACGGGAGCUCUCUGGUCUCUGACCAACACAGGAGGGGAGCUUGCAAUACACAAUAGGCGUCUCACAUGAUGUGGCAUCGGGGAACCAUAAGUCACAUUUUGCUCCAAAUAUGUCCCCACCCACACUGAGAUUCAUUUCACAAGAGCUGCUUCUUCUUCUUCUUCUUUUUUUUUUUAAAGUAAACUCUAUGCUCAACAUGGGGCUUGAACUCAAGACCCCAGGAUCAAGAGUCACAUGCUCUAUGGACUAAGCCAGCCAAAUGCCCCUCACAAGACCUUCUUUACUUUGAAGUUUAAAGAUUCAUGAGCCACGGCUAUCUACAUUUCCCUUGUGAAGAGAGGAUGCUGCACCUCAGUCCUACCAGUUUUCAUCUUCGCUACAUUUAGUAUAAUAAAGAUCAGGGCUCUGUGGCAAUGAGCCAGGCAGAGGAGAGAUGCCCAGAAAUGCCCUAAAAGUGGAGAUGGAAGCAGCCAUGAAUAGGUGUAGACAACAAACAGAAAGUUAAGCAAGGAAAUAUACAGGAUGAUACGACAGAGUGUAAGAGUAAAACGUGAAUAACACUCUAACCUUUGUCACUCUGAGUGGGGAACUGAAGGCCAGAAGAGCAGAGGACAGUAUUAUCCUGGAUCUACCUCUUUAUCCUGCCCACCCCCAGGACUUCCAUGAAGUGGAGGACUUGAUAAAGACUGCCAUAGGUGAUACCCUAGUCCAAGACAUCCGCUAUUCUCCAGAUACCCGAAAGCUCCUUGUCCAGCUCAGUGAUACUUACAAGAGGUCAUUCCUGGAGAACCUGAAGGUGAACACACAGGAUCUGCCGCAAGUGGAAAACACAGGGAAGGUGAAAGGACUCAUUCUCACCCUUAAAGGAGAGCCUGGAGGGCAGACCCAAGCAUUUGAUUUUUACUCCAGAUAUUUUGCACCGUGGGUUGGUGUGGCUGAAGACCCUGUAACAGGGUCUGCACAUGCUGUUCUCAGCAGCUACUGGUCCCAGCAACUGGGGAAGAAAGACAUGCAUGCCUUUCAGUGUUCCCACCGAGGAGGAGAGCUGGAGAUUUCUCUGCGUCCUGAUGGGCGGGUUGAUAUCAGGGGCAGCACUGCUGUUGUUCUAGAGGGCACGCUGACAGCCUAGAGGUGGCUGUGGUUCAAGGCUGAGAUUUUGAAUGACUAAGUGUUUUCUGCACAAAAAGAAAUGGAAGCGGCUGCCUUUACCAAACUUGCACAGCAGUUCACUUCAUCCCCACGAUAGAAAUAGAAAAAUGAAGACAUAUUAAUGGAAAUUUCAUCAUGCUUCCUGACUAAUUAAUUUAUGGAGUUUUGGCUUUGCCCGCGAAUGUAUUUGACAUAGAAGUAACCAGUAACAAAGAAUGAGGUUGUCACCUUCAAUUAUGACUACCAAUCACAGAAUGAGGAGUACAUUUAUGAGGAGUAAGAUCAAACCAUUUAAACUUAGGUGUGAGUAUCUGAUAGACUAUUUUGUAGCCGUUAAAAAGACGCAAUAACUAUGUGGAAAUAUUGAAAAGUAUCUCAUGACACAAUACUAAGAAAGGGAAUUACAGUGGACUACAAAAUGUUAGCAAUGUUAUGUUUAUAUCUAUGGACAAUAUGAAUAUAUAUGGACAAAGAUGGGUCAUGAAGAUAGAAAGGUGACAACUGUUCAUGUGUGUGUGUGUGGGGGGGGUAAGAUUGGGAGUCAUUUUAAGGCACCUAAAAAAUUAUUUCCCUUACUGGAACACACUCAUGUUCAAUAACUAAAAAAUCAGGACAUAUAACAGAAUAACCCAAAAACCCAGAUAUUUCAAAAAAUGUAUAUGUAUUACUGUGGUGAUAAAAUUAAACUCUAAAAGCAAUAUAAUAUCUUUAUCUUGAUGUAUAGUUUUAGAGUGUAACUUAAAAAGCAUUCUUC
Leptonychotes weddellii (Weddell seal) is the source of this 2335-nucleotide non-coding RNA. NCBI's taxonomy places the organism in Eukaryota, Metazoa, Chordata, Mammalia, Carnivora, Phocidae. The record is from RefSeq and is a predicted model, not a curated record.